UAGGGAAUCUUCCACAAUGGACGCAAGUCUGAUGGAGCAACGCCGCGUGAGUGAAGAAGGUUUUCGGAUCGUAAAGCUCUGUUGUUGGUGAAGAAGGAUAGAGGCAGUAACUGGUCUUUAUUGACGGUAAUCAACCAGAAAGUCACGGCUAACUACGUGUCAG
RNAcentral lists this ribosomal RNA (163 nucleotides) under uncultured bacterium. RNAcentral's name for it is "partial 16S rRNA". It matches the Rfam family "Bacterial small subunit ribosomal RNA", at positions 355 to 511 of the family's 1533-position model. The record is from RNAcentral.